RNAcentral lists this ribosomal RNA (433 nucleotides) under uncultured bacterium. Its description in RNAcentral is "partial 16S ribosomal RNA". It matches the Rfam family "Bacterial small subunit ribosomal RNA", at positions 29 to 507 of the family's 1533-position model. The record is from RNAcentral.
AACGAACGCUGGCGGCAGGCUUAACACAUGCAAGUCGAGCGCAUCCUUCGGGGUGAGCGGCGGACGGGUGAGUAACGCGUGGGAACGUGCCCUCUUCUACGGAAUAGCCUCGGGAAACUGAGAGUAAUGCCGUAUACGCCCGCAAGGGGAAAGAUUUAUCGGAGGAGGAUCGGCCCGCGUUGGAUUAGGUAGUUGGUGGGGUAACGGCCUACCAAGCCGUCGAUCCAUAGCUGGUUUGAGAGGAUGAUCAGCCACACUGGGACUGAGACACGGCCCAGACUCCUACGGGAGGCAGCAGUGGGGAAUCUUGGACAAUGGGGGCAACCCUGAUCCAGCCAUGCCGCGUGAUCGAUGAAGGCCUUAGGGUUGUAAAGAUCUUUCAGCUGGGAAGAUAAUGACGGUACCAGCAGAAGAAGCCCCGGCUAACUCCGUG